Molecule: transfer RNA, 77 nt
Filed under: Muribaculaceae bacterium
Lineage: Bacteria; Pseudomonadati; Bacteroidota; Bacteroidia; Bacteroidales; Muribaculaceae
Description: tRNA-Lys
Rfam family: tRNA
About the family: Transfer RNA (tRNA) molecules are approximately 80 nucleotides in length.
Source: RNAcentral
GUUCUCAUAGCUCAGUUGGUUAGAGCAACGGAUUUUUAAUCCGUGGGGCGCAAGUUCGAAUCUUGCUGGGAACACCA